RNAcentral lists this ribosomal RNA (491 nucleotides) under uncultured Sphingobacteriales bacterium. RNAcentral's name for it is "bacterial SSU rRNA". It matches the Rfam family "Bacterial small subunit ribosomal RNA", at positions 904 to 1382 of the family's 1533-position model. Lineage: Bacteria; Pseudomonadati; Bacteroidota; Sphingobacteriia; Sphingobacteriales. The record is from RNAcentral.
AGCCGCUCAGAACUCAAGGAAUUGACGGGGCCGCACAAGCGGAGGAGCAUGUGGUUUAAUUCGAUGAUACGCGAGGAACCUUACCUGGGCUCGAACGUAAGAUGACUGUAGGUGAAAGCUUACAUCUCUUCGGAGCAUUUUACGAGGUGCUGCAUGGUUGUCGUCAGCUCGUGCCGUGAGGUGUCGGGUUAAGUCCCAUAACGAGCGCAACCCCUACCUUUAGUUGCCAUCAGGUUAAGCUGGGGACUCUAAAGGAACUGCCUACGCAAGUAGUGAGGAAGGCGGGGAUGACGUCAAAUCAGCACGGCCCUUACGUCCAGGGCUACACACGUGCUACAAUGGCCGAUACAGAGGGCAGCUACCUGGUGACAGGAUGCAAAUCUCCAAAGUCGGUCUCAGUUCGGAUCGGAGUCUGCAACCCGACUCCGUGAAGUUGGAUUCGCUAGUAAUCGCGCAUCAGCCAUGGCGCGGUGAAUACGUUCCCGGGCCUU